GAUAAACCAUAUACUUUCACCAGCAUCCAGAGGAGAUGAGAAGGCGAAUGUUGAAAAACCAAGUUCCUCGUGUAUUCCCCGAGCAGAUGAUUUUGUUCAUGGAGUCGCGGCAGAUACUGGGAUGAAGUUAUCAGCUAUGGAUAUAGACCUUCCAACACAGGGUAAUCUGACAGAAUUGGCUUGUGAUGUUCAUAAUGCAGAACCAUCUACGGCUGAGAUUGAAUGUCCUUUGGAUUUAUCAAGUGGAAUUGCAGAUGUAGAAAUGGAGGCAAAGGACGACGAUAAUUGUAAUCUUAAGAUCAAUGUUGGGAUCGAUGGAAGCACAUAGAAAGUCAAAUUGUUUUGGAUGAUUCAAUCAUAUACAGAAUUGCUGAGAUACAUCCUAAGCAUGGAGAGGCUAUGAUGUGUAAUUAUUUUUUCCUAAUGCAGUUCCUGAGGAAGUGUCGAAUGUUACUUGUGACAGCAAAUCAGACCGCUUCGGUAUGGUUCGGCUCUACAAUGAGGUAAAAUUUAUAUAUUCUAAUCUUAUUGAUGGGUGUAUGCAUCAUAUUCGCAUGUUUCUUAAAAAAAUUUAUCUAACAAAAUCACCAUAUGCUACCCACUGAUGUGUUUAGAUACUGUUGUGCUUUUCAUUUGCUUGCAGAUGUGCAAAUUACUUACAGAAAAUGCCCAAGAUUCAGUUGCAGCUCAUAUAGCUAACAAUCCGGCUAGCUUGAAUUUGAGAAGAAAUCUUGCUCCACUGGAAGCGUUUAAUCAAGAGAUAAACCAUAUACUUUCACCAGCAUCCAGAGGAGAUGAGAAGGCGAAUGUUGAAAAACCAAGUUCCUCGUGUAUUCCCCGAGCAGAUGAUUUUGUUCAUGGAGUCGCGGCAGAUACUGGGAUGAAGUUAUCAGCUAUGGAUAUAGACCUUCCAACACAGGGUAAUCUGACAGAAUUGGCUUGUGAUGUUCAUAAUGCAGAACCAUCUACGGCUGAGAUUGAAUGUCCUUUGGAUUUAUCAAGUGGAAUUGCAGAUGUAGAAAUGGAGGCAAAGGACGACGAUAAUUGUAAUCUUAAGAUCAAUGUUGGGAUCGAUGGAAG
This 1080-nucleotide long non-coding RNA is filed under the name Olea europaea (common olive). Its description in RNAcentral is "long non-coding RNA (OEUR_LNC007418)". Lineage: Eukaryota; Viridiplantae; Streptophyta; Magnoliopsida; Lamiales; Oleaceae. The record is from RNAcentral.